UCCCCCUGGAAAGAGACACUUUGUUGUUGUUGGUAUUCUUAUAUCAGUCAGGGGCAGAGAACAAAGAGCAGUCCUUUUUUAUCCUAGGUUGAUGCCUGACUUGGUGACAAAAGUAUUUUAUGCCUAGGACUCAUAA
This 136-nucleotide small nucleolar RNA is filed under the name Mus caroli (Ryukyu mouse). Its description in RNAcentral is "predicted gene, 24288 (MGP_CAROLIEiJ_G0036622.1)". Lineage: Eukaryota; Metazoa; Chordata; Mammalia; Rodentia; Muridae. The record is from RNAcentral.